UAAUAAGACAUCCAUUCACGUAUAAUCGCUUUGAUACGGAAAGCAAGUCUCUACCCUGAACCGUAAAUUCAGGACUACGUGCAAU
This 85-nucleotide non-coding RNA is filed under the name marine eukaryotic metagenome. RNAcentral describes it as "Purine riboswitch". It matches the Rfam family "Purine riboswitch aptamer", at positions 4 to 90 of the family's 102-position model. From Rfam's summary of the family: Riboswitches are metabolite binding domains within certain messenger RNAs that serve as precision sensors for their corresponding targets. Allosteric rearrangement of mRNA structure is mediated by ligand binding, and this results in modulation of gene expression. The record is from RNAcentral.